GUCUGAUGUGAAAGCCUUCGGCUUAACGGAGAAGUGCAUCGGAAACUGGGAGACUUGAGUGCAGAAGAGGAGUGGAACUCCAUGUGUAGCGGUGGAAUGCGUAGAUAUAUGGAAGAACACCAGUGGCGAAGGCGGCUGUCUAGUCUGUAACUGACGCUGAGGCUCGAAAGCAUGGGUAGCGAACAGGAUUAGAUACCCUGGUAGUCCAUGCCGUAAACGAUGAGUGCUAAGUGUUGGAGGGUUUCCGCCCUUCAGUGCUGCAGCUAACGCAUUAAGCACUCCGCCUGGGGAGUACGACCGCAAGGUUGAAACUCAAAGGAAUUGACGGGGGCCCGCACAAGCGGUGGAGCAUGUGGUUUAAUUCGAAGCUACGCGAAGAACCUUACCAGGUCUUGACAUCUUCUGCCAAUCUUAGAGAUAAGACGUUCCCUUCGGGGACAGAAUGACAGGUGGUGCAUGGUUGUCGUCAGCUCGUGUCGUGAGAUGUUGGGUUAAGUCCCGCAACGAGCGCAACCCUUAUUAUCAGUUGCCAGCAUUCAGUUGGGCACUCUGGUGAGACUGCCGGUGACAAACCGGAGGAAGGUGGGGAUGACGUCAAAUCAUCAUGCCCCUUAUGACCUGGGCUACACACGUGCUACAAUGGACGGUACAACGAGUUGCGAAGUCGUGAGGCUAAGCUAAUCUCUUAAAGCCGUUCUCAGUUCGGAUUGUAGGCUGCAACUCGCCUACAUGAAGUUGGAAUCGCUAGUAAUCGCGGAUCAGCAUGCCGCGGUGAAUACGUUCCCGGGCCUUGUACACACCGCCCGUCACACCAUGAGAGUUUGUAACACCCAAAGCCGGUGAGAUAACCUUCGGGAGUCAGCCGUCUAAGGUGGACAGAGAUAGG
Molecule: ribosomal RNA, 886 nt
Filed under: Levilactobacillus brevis
Lineage: Bacteria; Bacillati; Bacillota; Bacilli; Lactobacillales; Lactobacillaceae
Description: bacterial SSU rRNA
Rfam family: Bacterial small subunit ribosomal RNA
Source: RNAcentral